GAUGAACGCUGGCGGCGUGCUUAACACAUGCAAGUCGAACGGAAAGGCCCUGCUUUUGUGGGGUGCUCGAGUGGCGAACGGGUGAGUAACACGUGAGUAACCUGCCCUUGACUUUGGGAUAACUUCAGGAAACUGGGGCUAAUACCGGAUAUGAGCUCCUGCUGCAUGGUGGGGGUUGGAAAGUUUCGGCGGUUGGGGAUGGACUCGCGGCUUAUCAGCUUGUUGGUGGGGUAGUGGAUUACCAAGGCUUUGACGGGUAGCCGGCCUGAGAGGGUGACCAGCCACAUUGGGACUGAGGUACGGCCCAGACGCCUACGGGAGGCAGCAGGGGGGAAUAUUGCACAAUGGGCGGAAGCCUGAUGCAGCAACGCCGCGUUCGGGAUGACGGCCUUCGGGUUGUAAACCGCUUUCGCCUGUGACGAAGCGUGAGUGACGGUAAUGUAUAAAGAAGCACCGGCUAACUACGUG
This 468-nucleotide ribosomal RNA is filed under the name uncultured bacterium. RNAcentral describes it as "partial 16S ribosomal RNA". It matches the Rfam family "Bacterial small subunit ribosomal RNA", at positions 28 to 507 of the family's 1533-position model. The record is from RNAcentral.